RNAcentral lists this ribosomal RNA (579 nucleotides) under Dujonia oleophila. RNAcentral describes it as "eukaryotic LSU rRNA". It matches the Rfam family "Eukaryotic large subunit ribosomal RNA", at positions 74 to 668 of the family's 3401-position model. The record is from RNAcentral. Lineage: Eukaryota; Fungi; Ascomycota; Pichiomycetes; Serinales; Debaryomycetaceae.
AUUGCCUUAGUACGGCGAGUGAAGCGGCAAAAGCUCAAAUUUGAAAUCUAGCACUUUCAGUGUUCGAGUUGUAAUUUGAAGAAGGUAACUUUGGAAUUGGCUCUUGUCUAUGUUCCUUGGAACAGGACGUCACAGAGGGUGAGAAUCCCGUGCGAUGAGAUGUCCAAUUCUAUGUAAAGUGCUUUCGAAGAGUCGAGUUGUUUGGGAAUGCAGCUCUAAGUGGGUGGUAAAUUCCAUCUAAAGCUAAAUAUUGGCGAGAGACCGAUAGCGAACAAGUACAGUGAUGGAAAGAUGAAAAGAACUUUGAAAAGAGAGUGAAAAAGUACGUGAAAUUGUUGAAAGGGAAGGGCUUGAGAUCAGACUUGGUAUUUUGUGUUCCUUAUUCUUUUUGGAUUUGGUUCCUCACAGCUUACCGGGCCAGCAUCGGUUUGGAUGGUAGGAUAAUGACAUUGGAAUGUAGCUUUGCUUCGGUGAAGUGUUAUAGACUUUGUUGAUACUGCCUAUCUAGACCGAGGACUGCGUCUUUGACUAGGAUGCUGGCGUAAUGAUCUUAAGCCGCCCGUCUUGAAACACGGACCA